UACGGAGGGUGCAAGCGUUGUCCGGAUUUAUUGGGUUUAAAGGGUGCGUAGGCGGCUAAUUAAGUCAGCGGUGAAAUUCCAGAGCUCAACUCUGUGAACUGCCAUUGAUACUGGUUGGCUUGAGUACAGAUGAGGUAGGCGGAAUUGACAGUGUAGCGGUGAAAUGCUUAGAUAUUGUCAAGAACACCUAUUGCGAAGGCAGCUUACUAAACUGUAACUGACGCUGAGGCACGAAAGCGUGGGGA
This 245-nucleotide ribosomal RNA is filed under the name uncultured Sporocytophaga sp. RNAcentral's name for it is "partial 16S ribosomal RNA". It matches the Rfam family "Bacterial small subunit ribosomal RNA", at positions 524 to 767 of the family's 1533-position model. Lineage: Bacteria; Pseudomonadati; Bacteroidota; Cytophagia; Cytophagales; Cytophagaceae. The record is from RNAcentral.